AGAGCGAACGCUGGCGGCGUGCUUAACACAUGCAAGUCGAACGCGCAGCAUUCUGUAGCAAUACAGGGUGUGGGCGCGUGGCGAACGGGUGCGUAACACGUGGAUAACCUUCCUUCAGGUGGGGAAUAACCCAGUGAAAAUUGGGCUAAUACCGCAUAACAUGACGAUGCCACAUGGUGUUGUCUUCAAAGGCGCAAGUCGCCAGAAGAGGGAUCCGCGGCCGAUUAGCUUGUUGGCGAGGUAAUGGCUCACCAAGGCAAUGAUCGGUAGCCGGACUGAGAGGUUGGCCGGCCACACUGGAACUGAGACACGGUCCAGACUCCUACGGGAGGCAGCAGUGGGGAAUCUUGCACAAUGGACGAAAGUCUGAUGCAGCAACGCCGCGUGGGGGAUGAAGCUUUCGGAGUGUAAACCCUUUCGACCCGGAAGAAUGCCCGCAAGGGUUUGACGGUACGGGUAUAAGAAGCCCGGCUAACUACGUGCCAGCAGCCGA
This 493-nucleotide ribosomal RNA is filed under the name uncultured bacterium. RNAcentral's name for it is "SSU rRNA". It matches the Rfam family "Bacterial small subunit ribosomal RNA", at positions 26 to 518 of the family's 1533-position model. The record is from RNAcentral.